AGGCAGCAGUGGGGAAUAUUGGACAAUGGGCGAAAGCCUGAUCCAGCAAUGCCGCGUGAGUGAUGAAGGCCUUAGGGUUGUAAAGCUCUUUUACCAGGGAUGAUAAUGACAGUACCUGGAGAAUAAGCUCCGGCUAACUCCGUGCCAGCAGCCGCGGUAAUACGGAGGGAGCUAGCGUUGUUCGGAAUUACUGGGCGUAAAGAGUACGUAGGCGGUUAUUCAAGUCAGAGGUGAAAGCCUGGAGCUCAACUCCAGAACUGCCUUUGAAACUAGAUAGCUAGAAUCUUGGAGAGGUGAGUGGAAUUCCGAGUGUAGAGGUGAAAUUCGUAGAUAUUCGGAAGAACACCAGUGGCGAAGGCGACUCACUGGACAAGUAUUGACGCUGAGGUACGAAAGCGUGGGGAGCAAACAGGAUUAGAUACCCUGGUAGUCCACGCCGUAAACGAUGAUAACUAGCUGUUCGGGCUCUACGAGCUUGAGUGGCNCAGCUAACGCAUUAAGUUAUCCGCCUGGGGAGUACGGUCGCAAGAUUAAAACUC
This 539-nucleotide ribosomal RNA is filed under the name alpha proteobacterium sj46. RNAcentral's name for it is "bacterial SSU rRNA". It matches the Rfam family "Bacterial small subunit ribosomal RNA", at positions 346 to 902 of the family's 1533-position model. Lineage: Bacteria; Pseudomonadati; Pseudomonadota; Alphaproteobacteria. The record is from RNAcentral.